GGCAAGUGGAUGGAGGUAGUGGAUUGGGAAU
Molecule: transfer RNA, 31 nt
Filed under: Leucaena zacapana
Lineage: Eukaryota; Viridiplantae; Streptophyta; Magnoliopsida; Fabales; Fabaceae
Description: partial tRNA-His
Source: RNAcentral